Molecule: ribosomal RNA, 116 nt
Filed under: Peribacillus simplex
Lineage: Bacteria; Bacillati; Bacillota; Bacilli; Caryophanales; Bacillaceae
Also listed under: 12 other names
Source: RNAcentral
UCUGGCAAUGAUGGCGAAGAGGUCACACCCGUACCCAUUCCGAACACGGAAGUUAAGUUCUUCAGCGCCGAUGGUAGUUGGGGGUUUCCCCCUGUGAGAGUAGGACGUUGCCAGGC